UCCCUGUGGCAUCACACCGUGAAAAUCGGAGCUCUUCCAGUAAUGUGUCUAACAUACCUGUCACAACCACUGUCAUCAAAACAUGCCGUUUAUGGGAAUACUCAAACUGGGAUUUCCAACUGAAAAUGUCAAUUUCCAAAAAGAUGAGCAAAUCGUAAAGAAAUUCUUUGCCUUUGAAGCAGUUUGGAAUGUGUUAUUUCUACAUAGACAUGGGCUCUUUUUGGCCUUGUUUUGCCCACAGCCUGUGUCCUGUGAAAGGCUAUGUGGCAGCUUUGUACAGCUAUUGUGGCCCUCUCGUGAGCUGCAUGUAAAUCACUACAUCUCUUAACAGGAAGUAAUGCCAGGAAACUUCUUACAAGGCAAAAAAAUCUUCAAGGUUGCAGGAUAACGCAAUAUAAAUUGAUAACCGUGAUCCCAUAGGGUUUUUUUCACUGGAUUAAAUUUCUUCCUUCUCUUCGAAAGAAUCCUUCUCUGCAAUUAAUGGCUGAACUAAGAAAAGUAAGAGAAGAGCUUAGAGAUAUGAAGUUGUGCUAUAAUAAAGCCAUGGAAAGACAGGAUAAAAUGAAUAAGAAGCUUCAGAAGAUGGAAAGAGCAAUGGGGCAUAUGAAUGAUAGAGUGGAAAAAACAGAAAAUGAUCUGCUUGUCUGGAACUCGGAAAGAAAUCGACUCUUGGAGAAAGUGGACAUGUUGGAAAAUUUCAGUAGACGUAAUAAUAUUAAAAUUGUUGGUCUUAAAGAAGGUAUGGAGGGAGAAAAACCAAUAGAAUUUUUUCAAAGAUGGAUCCCGGAAGUUUUGCAAAUGGCAGAGGAGGUUCAUCCAAUUGAAAUUGAGCGGGCACAUAGAGCUUUAAGACCAAAACCAAAAGAUGACCAAUAUCCACGAUCGAUUUUAAUAAAAUUCUUACGAUUUCAAGACAAGGAAAGGAUUCUACAGGCAGCUGCUCAAGCUGCCAAGGAUAGAAAAGGGCCAUUGAUGAUUCAAGGGAACAAAGUUUUUUUCUACCCUGAUAUAAGCUAUGAACUUUUGAAGAGCUGCCAUUUCUACAGCAUGGUGGUUGAAACAUCAAGGCCAGAGAUGAAUAGCCGAGUUUUCCUCAUGCAUGUCCUUGACCAUUUUUCAUGUACAGGAACUGACAGCUUUCCAGUUUGAUAACCAGUUCCAGUUGGCAUGGGGAAACCAAAGUAUGUCAAGGUUGCAAUCUACCUAUCCCUGAACUUGAGGGAGACCAGGUUUACGCUAUGUUAUUCUUCAGGUUUAUAUAUGUUGCAGACAUAUGAUCGGACAGAAAGUUUCAAUUUUUUUUAAGUAUGGAGAAUUGCUGAACCGAAACAAAAACAGAUUGGUUCACCCUUCGAGAGAAUGGGCAAUGGGCACCUGGAUACCCCUCCCAAUUUCCCUCUUCAGUGUUGGCCCUGGACGCAAUUUUUCAGGCCUCUAAAAGGGUCAGGUCAUCUUUAAUAGGCACACCUGUAACAAGCUGCUGCAGAUUAAUAAAAACCCCUCCUCAAAGUUGCCUCUUCCAUUGAAAGACAAACUGCUUCACUUUUUGUCAUUGGUAAACGCCAUAAAAACAGGAGGUGUGUUGGCAGCUCUGGCUGUAUACUGUCCUGCAGGUUAUGAUGGUAAGCUGAUGUAUUUACAUUCAGUCAAUCAGAUUCUCCCAUCACAGCACUGCAACCAGCACACUUUAUAACUAAGAGUUCAAUGGAAACGAAGAGAGAAUUUUAUUUUAACAUCCAUUGUUGGGGUUUGGGUGAUGGUGACGGAAUCCAAAAGACUUCAGUUCUGGAAGACUCCACAGCAUUCGUGGAGAAUUGAAAGGAUACUGAUCUCUUGGAGAUGAACUAGUUUUGCAGGUUAACCACAAAGCUAGGAUGGCGUCAGAGAGGCUUGUAUUAGAAUAUGUUUUUGAAUUGGAACUAUGACAAUAUAUCUUCCAGAGAAAGGAUUACGACAGACAAUAGCUUUCUCAGUGGUUCAGUGUUUCAAAAUAAAAUUUAUUUAUAGAUGAAUUAUUAUAGAUGGUUGGAAGUGAGUCAUCACACAGCAACAUAAUUGAAAGAUUCAAAAAAUGUCCAAAACAGGACCAUGCAGAUAAAGGUUGGUGGAGUCUAGUGAGCAAUGACAGAAUCUGUAUGAGGUCUGCAACUGUUGCCAAAUCUAAGAAAGUACUAUUAAAGUACAAAGUACAUUAAGCAAUGCUAUGGAAACUCUCUUUCGGAGUCUAUUCAUUGUGUAUCUUUGUGCUUCAGGCUAUUCAUAUUAAUCUUAACAAAGGAUUGUAUAAGUCAACCUUAUUCAAAGCCUAUUAUAAGAUCGUGCUGUCAGUGGGGAUUCGAUAUGUCUAAGGGACAACUUGUCCUUGGAAAAUAGACUAAAAUGUGCAAUGUUGGCUUGGUCUUAAAUCAUGAAGGAUGUUUAAUGAAUACCCUAGUUAAAUUGGUCCUUAAGAAUCCAGACCCAAAUCACAGGUGGUUUUAUUUAACCUUGUGAUACUCAUUCCUAUGCCAUGAAUUGUUUUGAGCUAUUGAAGUGUGCUCAGUAAGACAUGGUGGCUGCUGUCAACCCAGUGAAGAUGCUCCCAAAGGGUUAUUGACAAAGAGGCCAAGGCAGGCAUGAUGAUAGUGUCAGAUAGUGUGUGACUCAGUGCAAACACAAGAUUGUGGAUGCUGAACGUUGCUGCAGUUUUAUGAAAAACAAGCUCCUGGAGAAACUUCAAGCAACACACAUAAAAAUUGCUGGUGAACGCAGCAGAGCAGGCAGCAUCCUGGAGAAACUUGGUGGGUCAAGCAGCAUCUGUGGAAGGAAGUGCACGGAGUACGCUUCAUAUUGAGACCCUUUAUCUGGACCAAGAGUGGAGGAGAGAUGGCCAGAAAGAGAAGUGAGGUGAGGAGUGCUGGAGCAAGUGAUGGAUGGAUCCAGGUGAGGAAGGGCUGAUUGAUAAAUUGAGGAAGGAAAGAUAGAAAUAACAAGAUAAGCUAUCAGGAGAUGAGUGGAAACAACAAAGGCCUGCAGAUUGUGGAAUCAGAUACAAAAG
Mobula hypostoma (lesser devil ray) is the source of this 3037-nucleotide RNA transcript. RefSeq lists it as uncharacterized. The record is from RefSeq and is a predicted model, not a curated record. The transcript has 3 exons. NCBI's taxonomy places the organism in Eukaryota, Metazoa, Chordata, Chondrichthyes, Myliobatiformes, Myliobatidae.